GAUGAACGCUGGCGGCGUGCCUAAUACAUGCAAGUCGAGCGAACAGACGAGGAGCUUGCUCCUCUGACGUUAGCGGCGGACGGGUGAGUAACACGUGUAUAACCUACCUAUAAGACUGGGAUAACUUCGGGAAACCGGAUCUAAUACCGGAUGAUAUAUUGAACCGCAUGGUUCAAUAGUGAAAGACGGUUUUUCUGGCACGUAUAGAUGGAUCGGCGCCGCAUUAGCUAGUUGUUAGGCUAACAGCUUACCAAGGCGACGAUGCGUAGCCGACGUGAGAGAGGGGUCGCCGACCUGGGAGCGUAGACACGCUCCAGGCUCCUACGGGACGCCGCAGUAGGCUACCUUAGGCAAUGGGCGAGAGCAUGACGCAGCAGGCGGGCGCGAGUGAUGACGGUCUCCCGUUCGUAAAGCUCUGUUAUUGGGUAAGAACAACUGUGUAAUUAAAUAUGCAGGUCUUGACGGUACCGAAUCAGAAAGCACCGGCUAACUACGUG
RNAcentral lists this ribosomal RNA (497 nucleotides) under uncultured bacterium. RNAcentral's name for it is "partial 16S ribosomal RNA". It matches the Rfam family "Bacterial small subunit ribosomal RNA", at positions 28 to 507 of the family's 1533-position model. The record is from RNAcentral.